Molecule: non-coding RNA, 96 nt
Filed under: uncultured Catonella sp.
Lineage: Bacteria; Bacillati; Bacillota; Clostridia; Lachnospirales; Lachnospiraceae
Description: THF riboswitch
Rfam family: THF (Tetrahydrofolate) riboswitch aptamer
About the family: THF riboswitch presents a pseudoknot that joins P1-P2 and the loop of P3 and two THF binding.
Source: RNAcentral
GCAGAGUAGGAAAUUUAGCGUAAAGUGUCCAUCAGACGGGGAGUUGCUGACGGAACGAAGGGGAAGUCCCGCGGUGAAAUUUCCGCAUCCCGCUGU